This 483-nucleotide ribosomal RNA is filed under the name uncultured bacterium. RNAcentral describes it as "partial 16S ribosomal RNA". It matches the Rfam family "Bacterial small subunit ribosomal RNA", at positions 30 to 506 of the family's 1533-position model. The record is from RNAcentral.
AUUGAACGCUGGCGGCAGGCCUAACACAUGCAAGUCGAGCGGAUGAAGGGAGCUUGCUCCUGGAUUCAGCGGCGGACGGGUGAGUAAUGCCUAGGAAUCUGCCUGGUAGUGGGGGAUAACGUCCGGAAACGGGCGCUAAUACCGCAUACGUCCUGAGGGAGAAAGUGGGGGAUCUUCGGACCUCACGCUAUCAGAUGAGCCUAGGUCGGAUUAGCUAGUUGGUGGGGUAAAGGCCUACCAAGGCGACGAUCCGUAACUGGUCUGAGAGGAUGAUCAGUCACACUGGAACUGAGACACGGUCCAGACUCCUACGGGAGGCAGCAGUGGGGAAUAUUGGACAAUGGGCGAAAGCCUGAUCCAGCCAUGCCGCGUGUGUGAAGAAGGUCUUCGGAUUGUAAAGCAAUUUAAGUUGGGAGGAAGGGCAGUAAGUUAAUACCUUGCUGUUUUGACGUUACCAACAGAAGAAGCACCGGCUAACUUCGU